RNAcentral lists this ribosomal RNA (1369 nucleotides) under uncultured bacterium. RNAcentral's name for it is "bacterial SSU rRNA". It matches the Rfam family "Bacterial small subunit ribosomal RNA", at positions 28 to 1381 of the family's 1533-position model. The record is from RNAcentral.
GACGAACGCUGGCGGCGUGCCUAAUACAUGCAAGUAGAACGCUGAAGAGAGGAGCUUGCUCUUCUUGGAUGAGUUGCGAACGGGUGAGUAACGCGUAGGUAACCUGCCUGGUAGCGGGGGAUAACUAUUGGAAACGAUAGCUAAUACCGCAUAAAAUUGAUUAUUGCAUGAUAAUUAAUUGAAAGAUGCAAUUGCAUCACUACCAGAUGGACCUGCGUUGUAUUAGCUAGUUGGUGAGGUAACGGCUCACCAAGGCGACGAUACAUAGCCGACCUGAGAGGGUGAUCGGCCACACUGGGACUGAGACACGGCCCAGACUCCUACGGGAGGCAGCAGUAGGGAAUCUUCGGCAAUGGGGGGAACCCUGACCGAGCAACGCCGCGUGAGUGAAGAAGGUUUUCGGAUCGUAAAGCUCUGUUGUAAGAGAAGAACGGGUGUGAGAGUGGAAAGUUCACACUGUGACGGUAUCUUACCAGAAAGGGACGGCUAACUACGUGCCAGCAGCCGCGGUAAUACGUAGGUCCCGAGCGUUGUCCGGAUUUAUUGGGCGUAAAGCGAGCGCAGGCGGUUAGAUAAGUCUGAAGUUAAAGGCUGUGGCUUAACCAUAGUAUGCUUUGGAAACUGUUUAACUUGAGUGCAGAAGGGGAGAGUGGAAUUCCAUGUGUAGCGGUGAAAUGCGUAGAUAUAUGGAGGAACACCGGUGGCGAAAGCGGCUCUCUGGUCUGUAACUGACGCUGAGGCUCGAAAGCGUGGGGAGCGAACAGGAUUAGAUACCCUGGUAGUCCACGCCGUAAACGAUGAGUGCUAGGUGUUAGGCCCUUUCCGGGGCUUAGUGCCGCAGCUAACGCAUUAAGCACUCCGCCUGGGGAGUACGACCGCAAGGUUGAAACUCAAAGGAAUUGACGGGGGCCCGCACAAGCGGUGGAGCAUGUGGUUUAAUUCGAAGCAACGCGAAGAACCUUACCAGGUCUUGACAUCCCUCUGACCGCUCUAGAGAUAGAGUUUUCCUUCGGGACAGAGGUGACAGGUGGUGCAUGGUUGUCGUCAGCUCGUGUCGUGAGAUGUUGGGUUAAGUCCCGCAACGAGCGCAACCCCUAUUGUUAGUUGCCAUCAUUCAGUUGGGCACUCUAGCGAGACUGCCGGUAAUAAACCGGAGGAAGGUGGGGAUGACGUCAAAUCAUCAUGCCCCUUAUGACCUGGGCUACACACGUGCUACAAUGGCUGGUACAACGAGUCGCAAGCCGGUGACGGCAAGCUAAUCUCUGAAAGCCAGUCUCAGUUCGGAUUGUAGGCUGCAACUCGCCUACAUGAAGUCGGAAUCGCUAGUAAUCGCGGAUCAGCACGCCGCGGUGAAUACGUUCCCGGGCCU